GAACUCGACUAUAGCGUUCUCUCUUGUUUUUUUCUUUGAUCGGCACAUUAAUCCCAUAUUUGGUUGUCAAUAGGUUUUUACUGAUUUUUAUUUCUGCCCCUAAAUCCUUAAGGCUAUAAUUUCCUAAAAUAGCAUCGAAAGUUGUCAGGGAGGGUAGUAGAAAAAAUUUUAUAUUUAUAUCCGGGUAAUUGAAAAGGUUGGCUAUUUUAUGAUGAGUUACUUGAAUACUGCCCCCCAACAGUGCCAGCAUUAAACUUGGUUUUAUUGGGUAUGAGAUUUUUUACUAGGUCGGGCUUAAUGUAAUUUCUGUUUGAUCCGGUGUCCAUAAGUAUUUUUAAUAUUUGACCACUCCUCACCUUACAUUCAAAAUAGGGAAGUAAGGAGUCUUUAUUCUAAAAAAUUCAAAGCUGAGUAGGCAUAGUUAUUUUCGUCUUCGGUGCCGUCAUAUUGAUCAAUGUAGUUUCAAUGUGUUUUAAAUAACGACAAGCUGAGUGCAAGCUGUGAGUAUGCUAAAACAAAAAAAAAAGCUUAUAAAUAAAGCUUAAUGUGCUAUUUUAUCUAGAUAUACAAUUAAACUUUAAACAAAAAAAAAACAAAAAAUAGAACGACAAAGAAAAAAAAACCACGCGACAAGUAGUAAAAGCCAGUUGGAAAGAAAGAGCGGUUGUAUUGUACUGGAUGCCAGGCCUGAAUGCAGGCGAGUUUUCAUUUCUGAAAAAAAAUCGUAGCGUGGCACCUUGUGAGCAGUCCCAUACGCAAAAGUUAAGCGGGAAAGUGAGCCAGCAUCGCAGCGCCGUAGCCGUAGUCGUUAAACAAUUGAUCAGCAAGAAAAAAAUUGAAUUAAAAUGAAAUUGAAAAAAAAAGGCAAUCAAAUAAGAGAAAAAUAUUGUUGAAGUGAACGGGUGAAAACUAAUAUAGAAAGUGAAAAGAAAAGUAUGUGAAAAAAGAAAAGAAAUCGCUAAAAAAAAAAGUAAACGUAUUGCAGAAUUCUGCAAUCAAAAAUCAAACAAACAUAAAAAAAACAAUUCCUAUAUAAUAAUGUGAUUAUAUUACAAAAAAAAAAAUAUAUAUAAAAAAGGAAAAAAAACCGACGACGAUCUAACUUUGUAACCAUGAGCAAGAACUUUUGUUUUUCCCAGCCGAUCGCCGCAGCCAAAGAUCUUUCGCCGCCGGAAUUGGAUUUACUGUAAGUGCUUUAUCAUAUAUAUUGUUGCAUUCUACCCUUUAUUUAGUUAUUACGUCAUCAGCAUGACGCAAUGCGCUUUAGAAGCUGAAGUAAUUGUUUCGCAUUAAAAUAAGGUUUGUUUUGAUUACGCCUUUCGUCUUUCGCAUUGGAAUUAUGAAUUUUUUUUUUGCAUUUAUGAAAACUAAGAAUUUGGAUUAACGUAAUACCGCAAUAUACCUUCCCAUGUUUCAUUUUUAUUAUUAAAUAUGUCAUUAUUAUUAUUACUAUUACUAUAUCACACCUCUUAAUUAUUGAAUUACACUGCUUCUAUAUAAGAAUAACCCAGUUCUUUUCCAGCAACAUUUAUCUCUUUGCCAAUAAGUUACAAUACUUAUAUAUAUAUAUAGCUAAUUUCUUUAUAUACACUUAUCUAUACAUAACCAAUGGUGAAACUAAAGAUAUAAAGAGAAAUGAAAUAGAAAUUUAGUUGAAUUAUGUCAAAAAUAUAUACUUAUAGAACUGAGAUGAAUAUGAAAUUAAUGGUUUAUUAAUUGCUAUGUUAAUAAAAGAUUAUCAACAUGAAUUUUAGAUAAAUUUCUUCUUAUCCGGGGGUCAUGGAUAUCAAAGUGUCAUGGAAUGAGUAGAAUGUAGUCACUUCAAGGGAUCCUAAGUGUAAUUUGUAGGACCAUAAGGAUCAUGGAAGGGUGGGCAUUACGCAGACUUGCGUGAUAGAAGAAGUGAUGUUGGCAAGUGUAUCCCUUAUUUUCUCCCUCUUUAGUUUUUUUUUUCUUUUCUAUCUUUAUACUAGCCUUUUCUGUUCGUUCCCUUUUUGUCUAUAAAUAUAAUACGCGAAUUUAAAUUAUUUUUCAAUAGCAUACGAGCAUUUUAACGUGGCUGUUCUUUCUUUUGCUGAUCCACCCCAAGCCGACUAGAUAUCUGAAAUGCCGAUGACAUCGCGUGCUCCGUUAACACGUUAAUAUUCCACCAGCUCAGUCUUAAUAGAUUGUUAUAUGCUACAGAAAUAAUUAUGGCGCCCAACGUGGGGCCUAACCUUGGCUGCCUCGUCAGAAUUCAGAAUAGUCAUCAACAUCAAACUGUGUGGAAUUUUCGUUUACCACUGGAGACUAAAAUAUGGUUUUUCAUUUUCUUUUGUGGUCUAAUCGAGCUAAGUGAAUGAGUUUAUAGCGGCAUCAGUUUACUCGAUUGGAUUAACUUAUUUAAUAAAGGUAUAGUUCCGGGAGUGUAAGUUUGAUAUGCCGUCCCAAAAAAAAUAAAAGAACAGAUAUAUAACGCUGGUUCCUGUGAGUGGUCGUGGAUAUCAGGGAAGAUUUCUAUAUCCUGCCACGCAGGAUAACAAGCGCUGUGCUCUUUGGGUAUUAAUCAACCGUUUUUCGUUUUGCGGUCUGCACUCGAACACAACCGAAAAAGGCGAUGCGCGUGUGCUCUCGCUCUGAACAGAACUUUUCGUUUCUCUUUGUUUUGGUUUUCGGUCAACUGUUCUCAGACGCGUGGUUCUUGUUAUACUCACUCAACAACAACUCAGUGAGAGCGAGCCAACUAAACGCUCGCUCGUUGGAGUCAGCAGAAGAGCGAAAACACGAAAGACUCAUCGUAAACGGUCUUUUGUCUUCAGUGCCUUUUAAACAAAGCUUAGCAAAAAAUGUAACAUAUUUAUUAGAUGUAAACAUUAGAUCUAUUACUUAUUCAGUAUUAAGCUUUACAAUUAGUAGCGAAUUAACAUUUAUGCACUUAAAGAGCUUCGUCGCUCGUUUAAAAUGUAAUGAAGCGCUGAAAAGGCCCUCUCAACAGACACCUGCGUCGCCGGUGUAGCCAGUACAUCGUGUGCGAGCGCAUUCAGGUGUGGCGACUGCAGCUUAAUAUCAGUAAAGUACUGCAAAAUGAUCGCAUUUAGUGGCAAACGUCCAUGCAUAAGGUCGAAAUUUUCUAUGUCAGCAUAGAUCUGGACCAGUUUUUUAGAUACAGGCUCUUCCUUAGUUUCUGAGAUUGUCUGUACGCCAUCCAAAUAGGCGGAAAACAGAGACUCUUCUUUGUCAGCACAUUCACCACCGUCAGAUGUCAGCUCCUUCUUCUGGUCUUGGAUAUAACCCUCGCACUUUGUGUUGGGGAAUGCACCUUAAAUAAAAACUAAAUUUGAACAUAUUUUUCGCAAUGUUAGUUUAAAACAAUUGUUAGUUUUUGACAUGGACAAUAUACUUUGUUUAAACAUUUAAUAGCAAUUAACAACAAUAAAACAGGACCUUAACUUCAAACACACGUA
Molecule: long non-coding RNA, 3443 nt
Organism: Drosophila yakuba
Lineage: Eukaryota; Metazoa; Arthropoda; Insecta; Diptera; Drosophilidae
Exons: 2
Source: RefSeq, a predicted model, not a curated record